GUGUUCCCUUUGGCAGCACAGAUACUGAAAUUGGAACAAUACAGAAAUUAGCAUGGCCUCUGUGCAAGAAUGACAUGCACAUUCAUGAAGCGCUCCAUAUUUUA
Molecule: small nuclear RNA, 104 nt
Organism: Peromyscus californicus insignis
Lineage: Eukaryota; Metazoa; Chordata; Mammalia; Rodentia; Cricetidae
Source: RefSeq, a predicted model, not a curated record